ACGGCUCAGUAACACGUAGUCAACAUGCCCAGAGGACGUGGAUAACCUAGCGUAAGGGACGAUAAACCACGAUAGGUCAUAAUAUCUGGAAUCGUUUUAGGGGUUUAAAUCUAUAUGGCCUCAGGAUUGGACUGCGGCCGAUCAGGCUGUUGGUGAGGUAAUGGCCCACCAAACCUGAAACCGGUACGGGCUCUGAGAGGAGAAGCCCGGAGAUGGGCACUGAGACAAGGGCCCAGGCCCUAUGGGGCGCAGCAGGCGCGAAAACUCUGCAAUAAGCGAAAGCUUGACAGGGUUAUUCUGAGUGAUUUCCGCUAAGGAAAUCUUUUGGCACCUCUAAAAAUGGUGCAGAAUAAGGGGUGGGCAAGCCUGGUGUCAGCCGCCGCGGUAAUACCAGCACCCCGAGUGGUCGGGACGAUUAUUGGGCCUAAAGCAUCCGUAGCCGGUUCUACAAGUCUUCCGUUAAAUCCACCUGCUUAACAGAUGGGCUGCGGAGGAUACUAUGGAGCUAGGAGGCGGGAGAGGCAAGCGGUACUUAGUGGGUAGGGGUAAAAUCCGUUGAUCCAUUGAAGACCACCAGUGGCGAAGGCGGCUUGCCAGAACGCACUCGACGGUGAGGGAUGAAAGCUGGGGGAGCAAACCGGAUUAGAUACCCGGGUAGUCCCAGCUGUAAACGAUGCAGACUCGGUGAUGAAUAGGCUUCGUGCCUAUUCAGUGCCGCAGGGAUGCCGUUAAGUCUGCCGCCUGGGGGAGUACGGUCGCAAGACUGAAAACUUAAAGGAAUUUGGCGGGGGAGCACCACAAGGGGGUGAAGCCUGCGGUUCAUUUGGAGUUAACGCCUGAAAUCUUACCGGGGGCGAACCGCGCAAUGAAAGGUCAAGCUUUUAGACUUUACUAGACAA
RNAcentral lists this ribosomal RNA (899 nucleotides) under uncultured bacterium. Its description in RNAcentral is "bacterial SSU rRNA". It matches the Rfam family "Archaeal small subunit ribosomal RNA", at positions 85 to 978 of the family's 1478-position model. The record is from RNAcentral.